RNAcentral lists this ribosomal RNA (440 nucleotides) under uncultured bacterium. RNAcentral's name for it is "partial 16S ribosomal RNA". It matches the Rfam family "Bacterial small subunit ribosomal RNA", at positions 338 to 795 of the family's 1533-position model. The record is from RNAcentral.
CCUACGGGAGGCAGCAGUGGGGAAUAUUGGACAAUGGGGGAAACCCUGAUGCAGCGACGCAGCGUGAGGGAAGAAGGAAUUAGUGAUGUAAAGCUCUAUCAGCAGGGAAGAAAAUGACGGUACCUGAGUAAGAAGCUCCGGCUAACUACGUGCCAGCAGCCGCGGUAAGACGUAGGGGGCAAGCGUUAUCCGGAUUUACUGGGUGUAAAGGGAGCGUAGGCGGCAGGGCAAGUCUGGAGUGAAAGGCGGGGGCUCAACCCCCGGACUGCAGUGGAAACUGUACGGCUGGAGUGCAGGAGAGGUGAGUGGAAUUCCUGGUGUAGCGGUGAAAUGCUUAGAUAUUAGGAGGAACACCGGUGGCGAAGGCAGCUUACUGGACUGUAACUGACGUUGAGGCUCGAAAGCGUGGGGAGCAAACAGGAUUAGAUACCCGUGUAGUC